RNAcentral lists this ribosomal RNA (495 nucleotides) under uncultured bacterium. RNAcentral describes it as "partial 16S ribosomal RNA". It matches the Rfam family "Bacterial small subunit ribosomal RNA", at positions 29 to 506 of the family's 1533-position model. The record is from RNAcentral.
AUGAACGCUGGCGGCGUGCCUAAUACAUGCAAGUCGAGCGAACAGACGAGGAGCUUGCUCCUCUGACGUUAGCGGCGGACGGGUGAGUAACACGUGGAUAACCUACCUAUAAGACUGGGAUAACUUCGGGAAACCGGAGCUAAUACCGGAUAAUAUAUUGAACCGCAUGGUUCAAUAGUGAAAGACGGUUUUGCUGUCACUUAUAGAUGGAUCCGCGCCGCAUUAGCUAGUUGGUAAGGUAACGGCUUACCAAGGCAACGAUGCGUAGCCGACCUGAGAGGGUGUAGGCCCAACGCGAAACCGGAAAAGGUCCCAGACCCCCAGGGAGGGCAAAAGAGGGGAAUUUUCCCCAAAGGGGGAAAGCCUGCCGAGGCAACGCCGGGGGGGGAAUAAAGGUUUUGGGUUUGAAAAACUCUUUUAUUAGGGAAAAACAAAUGUUAAAGUAAUUAAGCCCGUUUUGGCGGUACCAAAUAAGAAAACCCCGGCUAACUGCUU